RNAcentral lists this ribosomal RNA (2902 nucleotides) under Escherichia coli. RNAcentral describes it as "23S ribosomal RNA". It matches the Rfam family "Bacterial large subunit ribosomal RNA". The record is from RNAcentral. Lineage: Bacteria; Pseudomonadati; Pseudomonadota; Gammaproteobacteria; Enterobacterales; Enterobacteriaceae.
GGUUAAGCGACUAAGCGUACACGGUGGAUGCCCUGGCAGUCAGAGGCGAUGAAGGACGUGCUAAUCUGCGAUAAGCGUCGGUAAGGUGAUAUGAACCGUUAUAACCGGCGAUUUCCGAAUGGGGAAACCCAGUGUGAUUCGUCACACUAUCAUUAACUGAAUCCAUAGGUUAAUGAGGCGAACCGGGGGAACUGAAACAUCUAAGUACCCCGAGGAAAAGAAAUCAACCGAGAUUCCCCCAGUAGCGGCGAGCGAACGGGGAGCAGCCCAGAGCCUGAAUCAGUGUGUGUGUUAGUGGAAGCGUCUGGAAAGGCGCGCGAUACAGGGUGACAGCCCCGUACACAAAAAUGCACAUGCUGUGAGCUCGAUGAGUAGGGCGGGACACGUGGUAUCCUGUCUGAAUAUGGGGGGACCAUCCUCCAAGGCUAAAUACUCCUGACUGACCGAUAGUGAACCAGUACCGUGAGGGAAAGGCGAAAAGAACCCCGGCGAGGGGAGUGAAAAAGAACCUGAAACCGUGUACGUACAAGCAGUGGGAGCACGCUUAGGCGUGUGACUGCGUACCUUUUGUAUAAUGGGUCAGCGACUUAUAUUCUGUAGCAAGGUUAACCGAAUAGGGGAGCCGAAGGGAAACCGAGUCUUAACUGGGCGUUAAGUUGCAGGGUAUAGACCCGAAACCCGGUGAUCUAGCCAUGGGCAGGUUGAAGGUUGGGUAACACUAACUGGAGGACCGAACCGACUAAUGUUGAAAAAUUAGCGGAUGACUUGUGGCUGGGGGUGAAAGGCCAAUCAAACCGGGAGAUAGCUGGUUCUCCCCGAAAGCUAUUUAGGUAGCGCCUCGUGAAUUCAUCUCCGGGGGUAGAGCACUGUUUCGGCAAGGGGGUCAUCCCGACUUACCAACCCGAUGCAAACUGCGAAUACCGGAGAAUGUUAUCACGGGAGACACACGGCGGGUGCUAACGUCCGUCGUGAAGAGGGAAACAACCCAGACCGCCAGCUAAGGUCCCAAAGUCAUGGUUAAGUGGGAAACGAUGUGGGAAGGCCCAGACAGCCAGGAUGUUGGCUUAGAAGCAGCCAUCAUUUAAAGAAAGCGUAAUAGCUCACUGGUCGAGUCGGCCUGCGCGGAAGAUGUAACGGGGCUAAACCAUGCACCGAAGCUGCGGCAGCGACACUAUGUGUUGUUGGGUAGGGGAGCGUUCUGUAAGCCUGUGAAGGUGUACUGUGAGGUAUGCUGGAGGUAUCAGAAGUGCGAAUGCUGACAUAAGUAACGAUAAAGCGGGUGAAAAGCCCGCUCGCCGGAAGACCAAGGGUUCCUGUCCAACGUUAAUCGGGGCAGGGUGAGUCGACCCCUAAGGCGAGGCCGAAAGGCGUAGUCGAUGGGAAACAGGUUAAUAUUCCUGUACUUGGUGUUACUGCGAAGGGGGACGGAGAAGGCUAUGUUGGCCGGGCGACGGUUGUCCCGGUUUAAGCGUGUAGGCUGGUUUUCCAGGCAAAUCCGGAAAAUCAAGGCUGAGGCGUGAUGACGAGGCACUACGGUGCUGAAGCAACAAAUGCCCUGCUUCCAGGAAAAGCCUCUAAGCAUCAGGUAACAUCAAAUCGUACCCCAAACCGACACAGGUGGUCAGGUAGAGAAUACCAAGGCGCUUGAGAGAACUCGGGUGAAGGAACUAGGCAAAAUGGUGCCGUAACUUCGGGAGAAGGCACGCUGAUAUGUAGGUGAAGUCCCUCGCGGAUGGAGCUGAAAUCAGUCGAAGAUACCAGCUGGCUGCAACUGUUUAUUAAAAACACAGCACUGUGCAAACACGAAAGUGGACGUAUACGGUGUGACGCCUGCCCGGUGCCGGAAGGUUAAUUGAUGGGGUCAGCGCAAGCGAAGCUCUUGAUCGAAGCCCCGGUAAACGGCGGCCGUAACUAUAACGGUCCUAAGGUAGCGAAAUUCCUUGUCGGGUAAGUUCCGACCUGCACGAAUGGCGUAAUGAUGGCCAGGCUGUCUCCACCCGAGACUCAGUGAAAUUGAACUCGCUGUGAAGAUGCAGUGUACCCGCGGCAAGACGGAAAGACCCCGUGAACCUUUACUAUAGCUUGACACUGAACAUUGAGCCUUGAUGUGUAGGAUAGGUGGGAGGCUUUGAAGUGUGGACGCCAGUCUGCAUGGAGCCGACCUUGAAAUACCACCCUUUAAUGUUUGAUGUUCUAACGUUGACCCGUGAUCCGGGUUGCGGACAGUGUCUGGUGGGUAGUUUGACUGGGGCGGUCUCCUCCUAAAGAGUAACGGAGGAGCACGAAGGUUGGCUAAUCCUGGUCGGACAUCAGGAGGUUAGUGCAAUGGCAUAAGCCAGCUUGACUGCGAGCGUGACGGCGCGAGCAGGUGCGAAAGCAGGUCAUAGUGAUCCGGUGGUUCUGAAUGGAAGGGCCAUCGCUCAACGGAUAAAAGGUACUCCGGGGAUAACAGGCUGAUACCGCCCAAGAGUUCAUAUCGACGGCGGUGUUUGGCACCUCGAUGUCGGCUCAUCACAUCCUGGGGCUGAAGUAGGUCCCAAGGGUAUGGCUGUUCGCCAUUUAAAGUGGUACGCGAGCUGGGUUUAGAACGUCGUGAGACAGUUCGGUCCCUAUCUGCCGUGGGCGCUGGAGAACUGAGGGGGGCUGCUCCUAGUACGAGAGGACCGGAGUGGACGCAUCACUGGUGUUCGGGUUGUCAUGCCAAUGGCACUGCCCGGUAGCUAAAUGCGGAAGAGAUAAGUGCUGAAAGCAUCUAAGCACGAAACUUGCCCCGAGAUGAGUUCUCCCUGACUCCUUGAGAGUCCUGAAGGAACGUUGAAGACGACGACGUUGAUAGGCCGGGUGUGUAAGCGCAGCGAUGCGUUGAGCUAACCGGUACUAAUGAACCGUGAGGCUUAACCUU